AAUACCUUCUCAGCGUAGUUAUUCUGUUUCUGAUGAGUUGGGUAAUGGAACUGUAGAAGUUAAGACUAUUAGCGAAUUGGUCGACUGCAUGGAGGAAGGACAUAUUUGGAUUGUUGCGACUGUAGUGAAUCUUCUACUUGAAAAAGAAUGGUCAUAUUUGGGGUGCAAGAGAUGCUCGAAGAAGGUUGACAAAAUUGGAAGUAAAUUUCACUGCAAGAAAUGUGAUCGCCUUGAUAGUUUUGGCACUCAUAGGUAGAAGCUUCGAGUGCAAGUAAUGGAUCACACUGGCUUUAUAAAUUUGUUGCUUUGGGAUCGUGAAGCAACAACUCUCAUUGGGAAGUCUGCUAAUCAGUUAAAUGAAAUUUCAAUUGAGGUAUAUUUUAUUUAUUU
Molecule: long non-coding RNA, 390 nt
Organism: Nicotiana attenuata
Lineage: Eukaryota; Viridiplantae; Streptophyta; Magnoliopsida; Solanales; Solanaceae
Exons: 3
Source: RefSeq, a predicted model, not a curated record